Long non-coding RNA from Gekko japonicus, 224 nucleotides. RefSeq lists it as uncharacterized. The transcript has 3 exons. The record is from RefSeq and is a predicted model, not a curated record. NCBI's taxonomy places the organism in Eukaryota, Metazoa, Chordata, Lepidosauria, Squamata, Gekkonidae.
CUUCCCCCCGGAGAAGGGGACGGCUGGUUUAGUCCGGUCCUCAAGCGUACAAGCUGCAGCUGUGCUCGGCCCUGGAGAUGGAAACAGAGUUUCUUGUCCUUAUAGACCAAGGAAACUGGCCUAAGGUAGCCAAGUUUACUUGAGGGAAUGUACGGAGGCCCUACCAGAGGCGACAGUGCUGAAAUCUGUGGGGGGCAGAAACGUCCCUGUAACCUGUCACCUUA